This 927-nucleotide ribosomal RNA is filed under the name Geobacillus sp. enrichment culture clone 0-3F04. Its description in RNAcentral is "bacterial SSU rRNA". It matches the Rfam family "Bacterial small subunit ribosomal RNA", at positions 9 to 916 of the family's 1533-position model. Lineage: Bacteria; Bacillati; Bacillota; Bacilli; Caryophanales; Anoxybacillaceae. The record is from RNAcentral.
GAGUUUGAUCAUGGCUCAGGACGAACGCUGGCGGCGUGCCUAAUACAUGCAAGUCGAGCGAACCGAAGGGAGCUUGCUCCUUUAGGUUAGCGGCGGACGGGUGAGUAACACGUGGGCAACCUGCCCUGCAGACUGGGAUAACUUCGGGAAACCGGAGCUAAUACCGGAUAACACCGAAAACCGCAUGGUUUUCGGUUGAAAGGCGGCUUUUAGCUGUCACUGCAGGAUGGGCCCGCGGCGCAUUAGCUAGUUGGUGAGGUAACGGCUCACCAAGGCGACGAUGCGUAGCCGACCUGAGAGGGUGACCGGCCACACUGGGACUGAGACACGGCCCAGACUCCUACGGGAGGCAGCAGUAGGGAAUCUUCCGCAAUGGACGAAAGUCUGACGGAGCAACGCCGCGUGAGCGAAGAAGGUCUUCGGAUCGUAAAGCUCUGUUGUCAGGGAAGAACAAGUACCGUUCGAACAGGGCGGUACCUUGACGGUACCUGACGAGGAAGCCACGGCUAACUACGUGCCAGCAGCCGCGGUAAUACGUAGGUGGCAAGCGUUGUCCGGAAUUAUUGGGCGUAAAGCGCGCGCAGGCGGUUCCUUAAGUCUGAUGUGAAAUCUCGCGGCUCAACCGCGAGCGGCCAUUGGAAACUGGGGAACUUGAGUGCAGGAGAGGGGAGCGGAAUUCCACGUGUAGCGGUGAAAUGCGUAGAGAUGUGGAGGAACACCAGUGGCGAAGGCGGCUCUCUGGCCUGUAACUGACGCUGAGGCGCGAAAGCGUGGGGAGCGAACAGGAUUAGAUACCCUGGUAGUCCACGCCGUAAACGAUGAGUGCUAAGUGUUAGAGGGUAUCCACCCUUUAGUGCUGCAGCAAACGCAUUAAGCACUCCGCCUGGGGAGUACGGCCGCAAGGCUGAAACUUAAAGGAAUUGACGG